AAUAUUAACUUGUAAAAUCAUAGCGUUCCACCUCCAAAGUGAUGGUUUUUCCUGGUAGUGUCUUCGUAAAAAAUUUGCAUUUCACCUCGGAGGCGAAAGACCAAGUGAAGAUUGGGACUCCUUUUGGAUACGGACCACUUUCAAGCUGUUUCCCGGCGCAGAUAAGCCUUUGCUGAUCCGGUGGGAUCCCUACACCUUGUCCUAGACAUUAUCAAUCGUAUCAGAGCUUUCGAACCCCAACAUUAUAAAAAUAGACAGAACGAGCGAGAGAACAAUCGACGAAGCCAAAAUCGAAAAUCCAUAGAAGAAAAGAGCUGGGAUGAAAUUGGACGAGGAUCCGGUGUGUUUAUCGGAGGCAAGAGGCAUGAAGAUUUGCUGGCUUCUUCUUUCUCUGAUACAGAUACAGACACGUUCGCACAGCCUCGUAUUUCUUUAUUUUGAUGUAAAUUCGUUUGAGAAUGAUACGGUGACAGGGUCACUUUGAAACCAAAAGAUUAACAAUGCCAGAGGUGAAGGUUAGCGAA
Populus euphratica (Euphrates poplar) is the source of this 524-nucleotide long non-coding RNA. RefSeq lists it as uncharacterized. The transcript is spliced from 2 exons. The record is from RefSeq and is a predicted model, not a curated record. NCBI's taxonomy places the organism in Eukaryota, Viridiplantae, Streptophyta, Magnoliopsida, Malpighiales, Salicaceae.